This 385-nucleotide ribosomal RNA is filed under the name uncultured bacterium. Its description in RNAcentral is "bacterial SSU rRNA". It matches the Rfam family "Bacterial small subunit ribosomal RNA", at positions 32 to 403 of the family's 1533-position model. The record is from RNAcentral.
AAUCAACGCUGGCGGCGUGCCUCAGACAUGCAAGUCGAACGCGAAAGUCUCCUUCGGGGGACAAGUAGAGUGGCGCACGGGUGAGUAACACGUAGGUAAUCUACCUUCGGAUGGGGAAUAACAACCGGAAACGGUUGCUAAUACCGCAUAAUGCAGCGGCACCUAAUGGUGACAGUUGUUAAAGCGGGGGAUCGAAAGACCUCGCGUCUGAAGAGGAGCCUGCGGCGGAUUAGCAGUUGGUAGGUAACGCCUACCAAGGCGACGAUCCGUAGCCGGCUGAGAGGGCGGUCGGCCACACUGACACUGACAUACGGGUCAGACUCCUACGGGAGGCAGCAGUCGGAAUUUGGCAAUGGGCGAAAGCCUGACCCAGCAACGCCGCGUG